This is a ribosomal RNA of 475 nucleotides. It matches the Rfam family "Bacterial large subunit ribosomal RNA", at positions 1 to 420 of the family's 2925-position model.
AAUCAAGUGCCUUAAGGGUGUUCGGUGGAUGCCUUGGCGCUGAGAGGCGAUGAAGGACGUGCUACGCUGCGAUAAGCCGUGGGGAGCUGCGAAGAAGCUUUGAUCCGCGGAUUUCCGAAUGGGGAAACCCACCUUCGAUAGCCGGAACUCCAAGACCUUGGUUUUGGGGUUCGAUUGGGAGACCGAGAGACUUCAAGAUCAUGACGAUGCAAGUCGUCGAGGUUUUGGAUUUCCGGUUAUCAAGAGAAGGUAUGAGACUUCUGAAUACAUAGGAGGUUUCAAGCGAACCCAGGGAACUGAAACAUCUAAGUACCUGGAGGAAAGGACAUCAACCGAGACUCCGCUAGUAGUGGCGAGCGAACGCGGACCAGGCCAGUCAUGAAUGUAAGCCAACCAGAACCUGUCAGGAAAGCAGGGCCUCAGAGGGUGAUAGCCCCGUAUGGGUAAUGCGAACAUUCAUGCUCGAGUACGGCGG